RNAcentral lists this ribosomal RNA (256 nucleotides) under uncultured bacterium. RNAcentral's name for it is "partial 16S ribosomal RNA". It matches the Rfam family "Archaeal small subunit ribosomal RNA", at positions 474 to 728 of the family's 1478-position model. The record is from RNAcentral.
UACCAGCACCCCGAGUGGUCGGGACGUUUAUUGGGCCUAAAGCAUCCGUAGCCGGUUCUACAAGUCUUCCGUUAAAUCCAGCUGCUUAACAGAUGGGCUGCGGAAGAUACUAUGGAGCUAGGAGGCGGGAGAGGCAAGCGGUACUCGAUGGGGUAGGGGUAAAAUCCGUUGAUCCAUUGAAGACCACCAGUGGCGAAGGCGGCUUGCCAGAACGCGCUCGACGGUGAGGGAUGAAAGCUGGGGGGAGCAAACCGGG